RNAcentral lists this transfer-messenger RNA (370 nucleotides) under Pseudomonadota bacterium. It matches the Rfam family "transfer-messenger RNA". Rfam says of the family: Bacterial tmRNA, also known as 10Sa RNA or SsrA, is named for its dual tRNA and mRNA-like properties. Its role is to liberate the mRNA from a stalled ribosome. Lineage: Bacteria; Pseudomonadati; Pseudomonadota. RNAcentral also lists the same sequence under 3 other names. The record is from RNAcentral.
GGGGGCGAAAGGCUUCGACAGGAGUUAUAGGCGAGUAGGAUGCACGUCGGGUUUGCUUUCGGUGACCCGUAAAAAACCGAAAGGAAAAUAAAUGCCAACCAAGAAUUGGCACUCGCCGCUUAAUUGAGACAAGCGGCUGUCUCUGCUUGAGCUUGCUUGGGGCUUGAGCUGGAGGCAUGACACGAACCAAGCUGGCUUUUUGGGUUGCCGUCUGAAAUCCAAAAAGCGAGAAAUAAUCAGACUAGCCUUGUGCAUUCGGUUUGUCAGUUUUCCAUCAAGCACAAGGCGAAGCGUCGAAAAACUGACUAAGCGUGUAGAUUCCUCUGGUCUAAACUCUUGGAUGUGGGUUCGAUUCCCACCGCCUCCACCA